UCUUUAUACACAGUACAAGAAAAUGUUGGAAAUUGACAAGGAGAAAGACACUGAGAGAAAAACAAACAUUCUGAUUUUGCCCAAAUCACCCAGACCAACUACAGGUAAUGACAAAAGGAACCAACUGGCAAUGAGGAUAGUUUAGACAUCUUCAAGGAAGGAGACAAGAUCUUAAAAAAGAAAGCCU
RNAcentral lists this long non-coding RNA (187 nucleotides) under Ictidomys tridecemlineatus (thirteen-lined ground squirrel). Its description in RNAcentral is "lncRNA (ENSSTOG00000030281.1)". Lineage: Eukaryota; Metazoa; Chordata; Mammalia; Rodentia; Sciuridae. The record is from RNAcentral.